ACUAAUCUAAUUAUUACUAUCCUAUUUAUACUAAUUUAACUAGGGUUUGAUAAUGAAGAAAUGGAUGAGCUAGCCCAUUUGAUAUAAUGGGCUAGUGUGAAUAUAUGUGAUAAUGUCAAUAUCCUCUCAAGCUAGAGAGUGAAUGUCAAACAUUCCCAUGCAGCAAUUGGGAAGUAUAUAUAUUUCUGAGAUUUUGUAUAGCUGCAGGCCGGCUUUGUAAGGAUAUCAGCAAGCUGGUUUUGAUACAUGAGAUAGUUUGAACAAACCAACCAGCUGUAAAUGAUCCCUAACAAGAUGCAUGACAGUCAAUUUCAAUGUGUUUGAACCUUUCAUGGAAAACAGGAUUUGAAGCUAUGUGAAUUGUUGCCUGAUUGUCACAGUGCAACUGUGUACGUUUUGUAAUCUGGUUUUACCUGCAAAUCAUUUAAAAAAUAAUGCAACUACAUAUAUAAUUUCGCAAACAAUUGAGGUCAUGAACCUGUAUUAAUUAAGACUCUGCAGAAGAUUUAAAAAUUGUGGCCGG
RNAcentral lists this long non-coding RNA (523 nucleotides) under Zostera marina. Its description in RNAcentral is "long non-coding RNA (ZMAR_LNC001975)". The record is from RNAcentral. Lineage: Eukaryota; Viridiplantae; Streptophyta; Magnoliopsida; Alismatales; Zosteraceae.